AUACGUAGGUGGCAAGCGUUGUCCGGAUUUAUUGGGCGUAAAGCGAGCGCAGGCGGUUUCUUAAGUCUGAUGUGAAAGCCCCCGGCUCAACCGGGGAGGGUCAUUGGAAACUGGGAGACUUGAGUGCAGAAGAGGAGAGUGGAAUUCCAUGUGUAGCGGUGAAAUGCGUAGAUAUAUGGAGGAACACCAGUGGCGAAGGCGGCUCUCUGGUCUGCAACUGACGCUGAGGCUCGAAAGCGUGGGGAGCAAACAGGAUUAGAUACCCUGGUAGUCCACGCCGUAAACGAUGAGUGCUAAGUGUUGGAGGGUUUCCGCCCUUCAGUGCUGCAGCAAACGCAUUAAGCACUCCGCCUGGGGAGUACGACCGCAAGGUUGAAACUCAAAGGAAUUGACGGGG
Molecule: ribosomal RNA, 397 nt
Filed under: uncultured bacterium
Lineage: Bacteria
Description: partial 16S ribosomal RNA
Rfam family: Bacterial small subunit ribosomal RNA
Source: RNAcentral